This 490-nucleotide ribosomal RNA is filed under the name uncultured bacterium. Its description in RNAcentral is "partial 16S ribosomal RNA". It matches the Rfam family "Bacterial small subunit ribosomal RNA", at positions 30 to 507 of the family's 1533-position model. The record is from RNAcentral.
AUUGAACGCUGGCGGCAGGCCUAACACAUGCAAGUCGAACGGUAACAGGAAGAAGCUUGCUUCUUUGCUGACGAGUGGCGGACGGGUGAGUAAUGUCUGUGAAACUGUCUGAUGGAGGGGGAUAACUACUGGAAACGGUAGCUAAUACCGCAUAACGUCGCAAGACUAAAGAGGGGGACCUUCUGGCCUCUUGCCAUCGGAUGUGCCCAGAUGGGAUUAGCUAGUAGGUGGGGUAACGGCUCACCUAGGCGACGAUCCCUAGCUGGUCUGAGAGGAUGACCAGCCACACUGGAACUGAGACACGGUCCAGACUCCUACGGGAGGCAGCAGUGGGGAAUAUUGGACAAUGGGCGCAAGCCUGAUGCAGCCAUGCCGCGUGUAUGAAGAAGGCCUUCGGGUUGUAAAGUACUUUCGGCGGGGAGGAAGGGAGUAAAGUUAAUACCUCUGCUCAUUGACGUUACCCGCAGAAGAAGCACCGGCUAACUCCGUG